Molecule: ribosomal RNA, 405 nt
Filed under: uncultured bacterium
Lineage: Bacteria
Description: partial 16S ribosomal RNA
Rfam family: Bacterial small subunit ribosomal RNA
Source: RNAcentral
GAUGAACGCUGGCGGCGUGCCUAAUACAUGCAAGUCGAGCGAAGCGGGGACGGGUGAGUACCCCGUGGAUAACCUCCUAUACCACUCGGAUAACUUCGGGAAACAGGUGCUAAACCGGCUACUUAUAGAUGGAUCCUCGCUGCAUUAGCUAGUUGGUAAGGUAACGGCUUACCAAGGCAACGAUGCAUAGCCGACCUGAGAGGGUGAUCGGGCACACUGGAACUGAGACACGGUCCAGACUCCUACGGGAGGCAGCAGUAGGGAAGCUUCCGCAAUGGGCGAAAGCCUGACGGAGCAACGACGCGUGAGUGAAGAAGGUCUUCGGAUCGUAAAACUCUGUUGUUAGGGAAGCGGUACCUAAUCAGAAAGCCACGGCUAACUACGUGCCAGCAGCCGCGGUAAUAC